UAGUCAUAUGCUUGUUUUUAAGAUUAAGCCAUGCAUGUCUAAGUAUAAAGGUUUUUAUAAUGAAACUGCGAAUGGCUCAUUAAACCAGUUAUAGUUUACUUGAUAUUCAAACUUAUUAAAUGGAUAACCGUAGUAAUUCUAGAGCUAAUACAUGCGCAACGGGGGACUUCUCGGAACCCCAGGCAUUAUUUGAUUCUUACAAACCAAUAUUCGGCAACGUCUAUUGCGAUGAUUCAAGGUAACUGACCGGAUCGCUGGUUCGCACGAGCGAUAAAUCAUUCAGUUUCUGCCCCAUCAGCUUGAUGGUAGUGUAUUGGACAACCAUGGCUUUCACGGGUAACGGGGGAUUAGGGUUCGAUUCCGGAGAGGGAGCCUGACAAACGGCUACCACUUCUACGGAAGGCAGCAGGCGCGUAAAUUAUCCAAUCCUGAUUCAGGGAGGUAGUGACGAGAAAUAAUGAACUGGGAUUUAUCCCGGGGUUACAAUGGGCUUGAUUUGCAAACUUUAUUUAGCGAGGAACAAUUGGAGGGCAAGUCUGGUGCCAGCAGCCGCGGUAAUUCCAGCUCCAAUAGUGUAUAUUAUAGUUGUUGCAGUUAGACUAAGCUCGUAGUUGGAUUUCUGGGGGUGGGAGAUGCGGUGCGGCUAUGGCUGCGCCCGUCCCCCUCCUUCAUCCGCCUGUUAACGUUGCGCGGCAUUCAGUUGUCGGCUUCGGGCUCAGGCAUUUUACCUAUUUUGAGCAAAUUAUAGUGUUUCAGGCAGGCGUGCGCCGGAAUACAUUAGCGUGGAAUAAUAUAACAGGACCGUGAUUUAUUCUUUAAAUCUCGCUUAUUUGUUGGUUUCGAGGACACGGUAAUGAUUAAUAGGGAUAGUUAAACACAAAGGGGAGGCAUUAGUAUUUAAUUUCCAGAGGUGAAAUUCUUUGAAAUAUUAAAGACUAACUUAUGCGAAAGCAGUUGCCAAGAAUGUUUUCAUUAAUCAAGAACGAAAGUUAGGGGAUCAAAGACGAUCAGAUACCGUCCUAGUCUUAACCAUAAACUCUGCCGACUAGGGAUCGGGGGGCGUGCGCGUUCCGCCCUCGGCACCUUACGAGAAAUCAAAGUUUCGGGUUCUGGGGGUAGUAUGGUCGCAAGGCUGAAACUUAAAGGAAUUGACGGAAGGGCACCACCAGGAGUGGAGCUUGCGGCUCAAUUUGACUCAACACGGGAAAACUUACCAGGUCCAGACAUUGGAAGGAUUGACAGAUUGAAAGCUCUUUCUUGAUUCAAUGGGUGGUGGUGCAUGGCCGUUCUUAGUUGGUGGAGUGAUUUGUCUGGUUAAUUCCGUUAACGAACGAGACCUCAGCCUGCUAAAUAGUUAUCUGUCUUUCUCGAGACUUGUUAACUUCUUAGAGGGGACCCUGUGUGCAACCACAAGUAAGUUCGAGGCAAUAACAGGUCUGUGAUGCCCUUUAGAUGUCCUGGGCCGCACGCGUGCUACACUGAUACGUACAACAAGUAUUUGCUGCUCCGAAAAAGAUAAUGGCUAAUCUACAAUACGUAUCGUGCUGCGGAUAGAUCCUUGCAAUUAUGGAUCUUGAAGGAGGAAUUCCUAGUAAGCGCAAGUCAUUAGCUUGCGUUGAUUACGUCCCUGCCCUUUGUACACACCGCCCGUCGCUCCUACCGAUUUCGAGUGAUCAGGUGAACCUUUCGGACUGUCGAGCAAUCGCGAAUGAAAGUUGAACCUUAUCACUUAGAGGAAGGAGAAGUCGUAACAAGGUUUCCGUAGGU
RNAcentral lists this ribosomal RNA (1767 nucleotides) under Euplotes warreni. Its description in RNAcentral is "SSU rRNA". It matches the Rfam family "Eukaryotic small subunit ribosomal RNA". Lineage: Eukaryota; Ciliophora; Spirotrichea; Euplotida; Euplotidae. The record is from RNAcentral.